CCUACGGGCGGCAGCAGUGGGGAAUAUUGCACAAUGGGGGAAACCCUGAACCAGCGACGCCGCGUUAGGGAAGACGGUUUUCGGAUUGUAAAGCUCUAUCCGCAGGGAAGAAAAUGACGGUACCUGAGGACGAAGCUCCGGCUAACUACGUGCCAGCAGCCGCGGUAAUACGUAGGGGGCAAGCGUGCUCCGGAUUUACUGGGUGUAAAGGGUGCGUAGACGGCCAUGCAAGUCAGAAGUGAAAUCCAUGGGCUUAACCGGGGAACUGCUUUUGAAACUGUGGGGCUUGAGUGCAGUAGAGGCAGGCGGAAUUCCGGGUGUAGCGGUGAAAUGCGUAGAGAUCAGGAGGAACACCAGUGGCGAAGGCGGCGUACUGGGCUUUAACUGACGCUGAGGCUCGAAAGCGUGGGUAGCAAACAGGAUUAGAUACCCGAGUAGUC
RNAcentral lists this ribosomal RNA (440 nucleotides) under uncultured bacterium. Its description in RNAcentral is "partial 16S ribosomal RNA". It matches the Rfam family "Bacterial small subunit ribosomal RNA", at positions 338 to 795 of the family's 1533-position model. The record is from RNAcentral.